RNAcentral lists this unclassified non-coding RNA (666 nucleotides) under uncultured Prochlorococcus sp. RNAcentral describes it as "partial may contain 16S ribosomal RNA, 16S-23S ribosomal RNA intergenic spacer, and 23S ribosomal RNA". The stretch from base 301 to 373 matches the Rfam family "tRNA". The record is from RNAcentral. Lineage: Bacteria; Bacillati; Cyanobacteriota; Cyanophyceae; Synechococcales; Prochlorococcaceae.
GGAGGAGGACGCCGAAGGUGGGGCUAAUGACUGGGGUGAAGUCGUAACAAGGUAGCCGUACCGGAAGGUGCGGCUGGAUCACCUCCUAACAGGGAGACAACAAAAUGUUUAAUAUUAUUAUUUUGUCACCUUAGGUCGAUCGGUAUCUCACGUUCUUAAUUUUUAAGAAUUUCAUUUCCUAAGUUUUUCUAGGUCACACCCAUUUUUUUUUCCUGGGCCAUUAGCUCAGGUGGUUAGAGCGCACCCCUGAUAAGGGUGAGGUCCCUGGUUCAAGUCCAGGAUGGCCCAUAUCUCUAUGUUGGGGGUAUAGCUCAGUUGGUAGAGCGCCUGCUUUGCAAGCAGGAUGUCAGCGGUUCGAGUCCGCUUACCUCCACUGAUUACCACCUCUUCCAUAAUCUGUAGAAAGGAAAAAAUUUUGAGUUUUGAUCACAUUACUGAACGAAUCUAGCUUCCUAAUGAAACCAUUAAGAUGCUGGACUCAUUGAAUUAAUUUCAUUGUUUUCAGAGAACCUUGACAACUGCAUAGAUUAUUUUUAAAGACAAUAAGCAUCUUUAAUGAUGCAGAUUUAUUAUUUGUGCGAAUGCAUUAAUAACAAUUCUAUUAAGCUGAUGCUUCAAUUUUGAAGUUAUUGGUCAAGCUACAAAGGGCUCACGGAGGAUACCUAG